UCUCUCCUCUCCUCUCCUCUCCUCUCCUCUCUACUCCUCACCUCCUCGCUCCGUUCCGUUCCUCCGGCGCUGUAUCCGGCGGCCACUCUUGGUCCACUCCACCUCUUCCGAGCGUCCUGUGCGUUUGGCAGGCGGCCAACCGAAGCGCGGGGAAGCGACACCGCCAGGGCGGCAGAAAAUUUUCCCCUCCGUUUCGGGCUCCUUCCCCAGCGGCAGGCGGGCGGACAUUGGCUGGAAAGUGGAGCAGCUCGUCAGGGACGAUCAAUGAACAUCGAUCCACGCUGGCCGCGCCGAGGAGGCUUUGGCUACUAAAAAAAAGAGAAAGAAAUAAAGCAAUGUGCUGCAUGAGGAUUUCUUUUUCUUUUUUUUUUCACUCCUUAAUUGCAAAAGAAGGUAACUAUAAAGUUUGGAACAACAUCAUGACACAAAGUGAGCAAGCCAGAGGAGACGGUGGCAAGGAAAAACCCCCUGAGACGAUAUGAGGAAGAAACAUUGAGAGGAAUGUGACUCAAAAGGGAACCCGUCCUCAUCUGGGUGACACCAGAUUAUAAUUAUGCAAUUAUAGAUAAUUACUCUUAUAGAACUGUGUGCUACAUGGCCAGAAUGUUGUGUAACCAGGAAAUUCAUUAUAGUUUUAACAUGAAGUCUA
Molecule: long non-coding RNA, 649 nt
Organism: Ictalurus punctatus (channel catfish)
Lineage: Eukaryota; Metazoa; Chordata; Actinopteri; Siluriformes; Ictaluridae
Exons: 2
Source: RefSeq, a predicted model, not a curated record